CUUGCCUAUUACAAGAGCGACGGGCGAUUUGUGCAUAGAAAGUUCCAUCUUCAUUCUUAUUUAAGUGUAUUAAAUUUAUUAGUUCCAAGUCCAAUUUCCUACAUACUGAAUUGAUAUUCCAAUGAUUAUUUUUUGUAUCCCAUAUUAUUCCUUAGAAUAGUCCUUGUCUUGAUUUGUUUUGUUCUUCCUGUAAGCAUUUAGCCUUCUUUUCUGUUGCAGCUUUAAAACAAUGAUAUAAGAAAUAAGUUCCAAGGUUCAGUUGAUCGUGGGCUAUCGAUUACAGCACAGGAUCCCCUGUCUUGGAUUUCUACCGCCAUUCCAUUUAGAUUUCCCUUAGUUAUCUACUACCUUUCUUUACGGUAAAA
Molecule: ribosomal RNA, 365 nt
Filed under: Abacarus sp. AH18 1
Lineage: Eukaryota; Metazoa; Arthropoda; Arachnida; Trombidiformes; Eriophyidae
Description: partial small subunit ribosomal RNA
Source: RNAcentral